Molecule: ribosomal RNA, 144 nt
Filed under: Suillus collinitus
Lineage: Eukaryota; Fungi; Basidiomycota; Agaricomycetes; Boletales; Suillaceae
Description: partial 28S ribosomal RNA
Rfam family: Eukaryotic large subunit ribosomal RNA
Source: RNAcentral
UUGACCUCAAAUCAGGUAGGACUACCCGCUGAACUUAAGCAUAUCAAUAAGCGGAGGAAAAGAAACUAACAAGGAUUCCCCUAGUAACUGCGAGUGAACCGGGAAAAGCUCAAAUUUUGAAUCUGGCGGUCUUUCGGCCGUCCG